Molecule: RNA transcript, 2136 nt
Organism: Triticum dicoccoides
Lineage: Eukaryota; Viridiplantae; Streptophyta; Magnoliopsida; Poales; Poaceae
Exons: 6
Source: RefSeq, a predicted model, not a curated record
UGCAGUUGGAGAGAGAGAUGGACUUGCGCCUAUGACGCACUGGUUGACGCCGUCCGCGAGCCCGGGUGCACGGUGGCGCUCGCGGACCUCCACCGCUGCCUCGACGCUUUAGCGAGUCAUGUGACCGAGCCGAGGGCCUCGUCCAGGUGGCCGCCGCCGGACUCGGCCCCGCCGCCUCCCGCCACGACGAGAUGUUCCGCGCGCUCACGAACCUCCACCGCUGCCUCGACGCCUUCAGCGAGUCCCGCGACCGAGCCGAGGGCCUCGUCCAUGCGGCGGCCGCCGGCCUUGACCCCGCCGCCUCUCGCCAUGACAAGCUGUUCCGUGUCGUGCGCAUGGUCGAAAAGGAUCUCCGGGCCUCCGCAGCCGGCCGGGAGGAGAACAAGAUGGAAGAGAAGAAGAAUCGCCCUCCGACCAUGCCGCUGGCGGCCGAGGACAAAUAGCCCAAUCGAUCUACCUCGUCUCCUAUUCAGAUGAAAGAAACUGUGACGGGAAAGGAGAGAUGGACUGGGAUAUUUUGCCUUGCUGUGCCGCAUGGUGGCCGAGAUGCGGUAGCUUCAUGCUCUGUUCCGAUGGGCCUCCUCUGCUCGAUGGUUGCCGCUGGUUGAGUUUGGUACGGUUUCCUGUUGUCGCUUGCGUCGAGCCCUGGGUCUGUCUCUCCUUCUCAUUGAUCCUACUUCUCCUGUCAUUGGCGCUUCUUCUUCUCGUCCAUCCUGCUGCUUACCCAACGUGCUUCUGCUUGCUGCCUCGGGUCGUACGAUUUCUUCUUUCGCUGUGUCGUUCGACUCGUCAAGGUUUUCUUCUUUCCUUUCUACUACAUGUGUGCGUGUUUUACUUUCAGUAUCUUCUACGUCAUGGUGUCUGCCUUGGUGAUCUUUUAAAUAUCUGUAUGUCGUGCUGAUCGUUUAAAAGUUUCGGAUAUGGUCGGGGGUUGUGUGUUGUUCGUUCUUGUGCUACUUAUAUUUUGUGUAUGCGUGCGAGCAGGAUGUGUACGCUGUUUCCGUUGUUAUACCUGGUAGCUCGAUGCGCUUUGCCGUCGCUUUCAUAUUUGUGUGUGUUGUCGCAGAGGAUGGCUCUGUUCUUCCUGGUGUAGAACUCGAGCUCCCAGUGGGACAGUUCUGGCCCUAUGGAGAAGCUUGAUGAAGAAGCCGAGGCGCAGCUACUUUCAACCCUCAUGCUAUAUACCCAUAUAUACACAUGUCUCCCAGUUUUGGUUUUGUCUCACGCACGAGGCGAGUUCCGGUGGUAAAGCUGAAACUUCAUCACUUACUGUUGAAGAAAAGGAUGAUAACAAUGACCAGGCUCAGAUGAUAACAAUGACCUGGGAGUUCUUUUGUGUACACUCAUGGUACUCUGAAUAAUUGAUGCAGAAUGAAGGGGCGAGCAUAAAAGAAAUGCAGAGCCAGUUUCCCUCGGAUGCAGUGUAUUAUUACACUGACUUUGAGGAUAGACAACAGUCUACUGGGGUUGGUUAUUGCAAUUAAAAGGCUACUCCACCAAUGGUGAAAAUCCCCUACAAAAUGAUGCUGGAUGUCCUUUUAGAAUCUUUGGGCCUGCCAGAGGUUGAGUAUCGAACCAAAGUAUGUGUAUGCGAGGGUGGUACAAAGUUAUGAAGAACCCCAUUUUCGUUCAGAUAUGCACGCCUUUUUGUCAUCCGGAGUCUUUGCAUUUACGUUUAUAUUAUUGAUUCAGGUUUAGUUGUUUAGAUCAAAAUUGUAAUCUUGCGUGUAGAAUGGGCAGAUUAUUUCUCACUUUGAGGACUCUGUUUUGUUCAUCGGAAUUUUUUUUCCAGUGCCCCGAGAACUUGGCUUUGAUGUUCUUCCCAAAAUGAAUUGAAAUUACUAUGAUUCAUGCAAGUUACUUGGCAAAGAAAAUUGUUCUCUGCAUAGUGGAUACAUGUACUAUUUGGAUAGUGGAUACAUGUACUGACCGUAGAUUCUUUUACUUAUCUGAGGCAAGUAUUCUAAUUUAUUUAGCAUGCACCUGCAAAUUAGCCUGAUAGUUUAUCAAUCUAUCAUUCAGAUGUGGCUAGGUUUUUCUGUUAUCCGAAAACACACAUUAUAUUGUCUUUGUUUUUACAUAAAGAUGUAGAUGUUGAGAAGUAUAUUAUUUUGAUUGCUGAGUCGGUCUAUUGUG